GUAGGUGGCAAGCGUUGUCCGGAUUUAUUGGGUUUAAAGGGUGCGUAGGCGGUCAAUUAAGUCAGUGGUGAAAUACGGCAGCUUAACUGUCGAGGUGCCAUUGAUACUGGUUGACUUGAGUACUGAUGAGGUAGGCGGAAUGGACGGUGUAGCGGUGAAAUGCUUAGAGAUCGUCCAGAACACCGAUAGCGAAGGCAGCUUACUAAGGAGUAACUGACGCUGAGGCACGAAAGUGUGGGGAUCAAACAGGAUUAGAUACCCUGGUAGUCCACACUGUAAACGAUGAUUACUCGAUGUGUGCGAUACACAGCACGCGUCUUAGCAAAAGCGAUAAGUAAUCCACCUGGGGAGUACGCCGGCAACGGUG
This 367-nucleotide ribosomal RNA is filed under the name uncultured bacterium. Its description in RNAcentral is "bacterial SSU rRNA". It matches the Rfam family "Bacterial small subunit ribosomal RNA", at positions 527 to 896 of the family's 1533-position model. The record is from RNAcentral.